This 180-nucleotide ribosomal RNA is filed under the name uncultured bacterium. Its description in RNAcentral is "partial 16S ribosomal RNA". It matches the Rfam family "Bacterial small subunit ribosomal RNA", at positions 1320 to 1500 of the family's 1533-position model. The record is from RNAcentral.
GUGAAGUUGGAAUCGCUAGUAAUCGCGGAUCAGCAUGCCGCGGUGAAUACGUUCCCGGGCCUUGUACACACCGCCCGUCACACCAUGAGAGUCGGGAACACCCGAAGUCCGUAGCCUAACCGCAAGGGGGCGCGGCCGAAGGUGGGUUCGAUAAUUGGGGUGAAGUCGUAACAAGGUACC